AAAGGUCUUGGAAGAGUGGAGACUGUCUACCAGGACGAGCAGCAGCAGCCAGUGUACUCCGCUCUCCUCCAUGGAGACCUCGGUGUUUACGAAACAAUCAGACAACCUGGAAACUACGUAAAUGUUUCAGGUCAAGAACAAUCGGAUUAUGCUGAUGUCAGCGCCAGGUCAGAUUCAGACUGAAGAUUUUGUCAAGAGGAAUGAAUC
This is a long non-coding RNA of Poeciliopsis prolifica (blackstripe livebearer), 207 nucleotides long. RefSeq lists it as uncharacterized. NCBI's taxonomy places the organism in Eukaryota, Metazoa, Chordata, Actinopteri, Cyprinodontiformes, Poeciliidae. The record is from RefSeq and is a predicted model, not a curated record. The transcript is spliced from 3 exons.